GAUGAGAACGCAGUGAAAUGCGAUACUUGGUGUGAAUUGCAGAAUCCCGUGAACCAUCGAGUCUUUGAACGCAAGUUGCGCCCGAAGCCACUAGGCCGAGGGCACGCCUGCCUGGGCGUCACACGCCGUUGCCCCCCCAUCUACUCCUUCGGGAUUGCGGGGGGGCGGAUGAUGGCCUCCCGUGCGCCUAGCCGCGCGGUUGGCAUAAAUACCAAGUCCUCGGCGACGCACGCCACGACAAUCGGUGGUUGCGAAACCUCGGUUGCCCGUCGUGUGCGUUCGUCGCGCAUCGAGGGCUCGAAAAAAUGCUCGGCUCCGGCUGGGCUUUCAACGCGACCCCAGGUCAGGCGGGGUUACCCGCUGAAUUUAAGCAUAUCAAUAAGCGGAGGA
This 390-nucleotide unclassified non-coding RNA is filed under the name soil metagenome. Its description in RNAcentral is "partial contains 5.8S ribosomal RNA, internal transcribed spacer 2, and large subunit ribosomal RNA". The stretch from base 5 to 121 matches the Rfam family "5.8S ribosomal RNA", at positions 40 to 154 of the family's 154-position model. The record is from RNAcentral.